This 253-nucleotide ribosomal RNA is filed under the name uncultured bacterium. RNAcentral describes it as "partial 16S ribosomal RNA". It matches the Rfam family "Bacterial small subunit ribosomal RNA", at positions 524 to 776 of the family's 1533-position model. The record is from RNAcentral.
UACGUAGGGGGCAAGCGUUGUCCGGAAUCACUGGGCGUAAAGGGCGCGUAGGCGGCCUGAUAAGUAGGGGGUGAAAUCCUGCGGCUUAACCGCAGGGCUGCCUUCUAAACUGUCAGGCUUGAGCACAGUAGAGGCAGGUGGAAUUCCCGGUGUAGCGGUGGAAUGCGUAGAGAUCGGGAAGAACAUCAGUGGAGAAGGCGGCCUGCUGGGCUGUUGCUGACGCUGAGGCGCGACAGCGUGGGGAGCAAACAGG